This 438-nucleotide long non-coding RNA is filed under the name Helianthus annuus (common sunflower). RNAcentral describes it as "sRNA HanXRQr2_Chr09g0381561". Lineage: Eukaryota; Viridiplantae; Streptophyta; Magnoliopsida; Asterales; Asteraceae. The record is from RNAcentral.
UUCACCAUGGCCUUCCUCGUUAUCAGCAGACUCAAGCCCAAACUAUUCAUAAUCCUUCUCAAGAGUAGCCAAAUCCUCUCUCAAAAAUUGGUAUGAAACUCAUUCACAUCGACAUUCAGCGCCCCAUCGAAUCGAAGCGAUGUAGUCAAAGAAGAGAAAACCUGCAUUUCAUUUAAUCAACUGAAACUUAAACAAUAGCUCAUAUAAAAUUAUCCACUAAUGUUCUAGAUGUUUUAGGUCAUAUGUUGGGGAUUAUGAUAUUUGAUACCAAUUAAGAGCAUCCUAAACAAAUAUAUUUCAUCCGCAAGAAGCUAUCAACAAAAUAAAGUGAUCAACACAAUGAAGUUUUGGAUGAGUUACCGAAGCCUUCACAUACAGAACAAUGACAGAUUUAUUCAAUUAUUUGAUAAAAUAUAGUGGCAUGUAAAUAUGUGUGAU